This is a long non-coding RNA of Lathyrus oleraceus (garden pea), 268 nucleotides long. RefSeq lists it as uncharacterized. NCBI's taxonomy places the organism in Eukaryota, Viridiplantae, Streptophyta, Magnoliopsida, Fabales, Fabaceae. The transcript is spliced from 3 exons. The record is from RefSeq and is a predicted model, not a curated record.
UCUAAGUCUAUAUGGUAGAUGAAUAAUAGGUGGCUGAUAAUAAUCAUAAUAAUGAUCCUCAAUUGGCUGAUUUCAUUGAGAGUUCAAUAUAUUAAGAAGAUAUCAGAGUAUGUGACACAACUGAGACUAGUUGGAAAGGGUCAUGAUACUCCAAAGUAGUAUUGCUGAAGUAAGUGGACGGUAGCUCGCUCGAGAUUAUCCAGAGAGUGUCCGUAUUUUAGUUUGAAGACUAGGUAAUGAGUCAAUGCUCUGGUCAUGUAACACGGGG